GCAAGGAUGACUUUUAACGAGUUUGAAGGUCUAUAUGCAUUAAUCUCAUCAAAGUGUACCUUAUAUGAUUCACGGAUGACUCGGUGUAGAUUGAUAGAGCCCAUCUAUAUGUGGGUAUGGUCCAUUCUAGAUUAAGCCCAAAUUAUAUGACUCAACUACCUUUAGCACGGUUGGUUGCAGGUGGAUGCCUAAAUAUAAUCUCUU
This 204-nucleotide unclassified non-coding RNA is filed under the name Hevea brasiliensis (rubber tree). The record is from RNAcentral. Lineage: Eukaryota; Viridiplantae; Streptophyta; Magnoliopsida; Malpighiales; Euphorbiaceae.